UUGUCGUCAGCUCGUGUCGUGAGAUGUUGGGUUAAGUCCCGCAAACGAGCGCAACCCUUGAUCUUAGUUGCCAGCAUUCAGUUGGGCACUCUAAGGUGACUGCCGGUGACAAACCGGAGGAAGGUGGGGAUGACGUCAAAUCAUCAUGCCCCUUAUGACCUGGGCUACACACGUGCUACAAUGGGCAGAACAAAGGGCAGCGAAGCCGCGAGGCUAAGCCAAUCCCACAAAUCUGUUCUCAGUUCGGAUCGCAGUCUGCAACUCGACUGCGUGAAGCUGGAAUCGCUAGUAAUCGCGGAUCAGCAUGCCGCGGUGAAUACGUUCCCGGGCCUUGUACACACCGCCCGUCACACCACGAGAGUUUGUAACACCCGAAGUCGGUGAGGUAACCUUGGAGCCAGCCGCCGAAG
This 410-nucleotide ribosomal RNA is filed under the name Bacillus sp. SjRM16103. RNAcentral describes it as "bacterial SSU rRNA". It matches the Rfam family "Bacterial small subunit ribosomal RNA", at positions 1049 to 1461 of the family's 1533-position model. The record is from RNAcentral. Lineage: Bacteria; Bacillati; Bacillota; Bacilli; Caryophanales; Bacillaceae.